Bufo gargarizans (Asiatic toad) is the source of this 547-nucleotide long non-coding RNA. RefSeq lists it as uncharacterized. The record is from RefSeq and is a predicted model, not a curated record. Lineage: Eukaryota; Metazoa; Chordata; Amphibia; Anura; Bufonidae. The transcript has 3 exons.
AGCUGCGGUUAGUGGAUGACAGGACCGCCGGCUCCCCUGCGCUCCAGCCAUCAUAGGCUGUCCUGGAAUCUUCCCAUGGAGACAGCCCUUGGUGGGCUCAUUACCAAGUGGUGAACAGGACACAUUUGGUCACUUGUCCAUAGGAAAAUGGUGUGAUGGCUGCAUUUCCCGGAUCAACCACGGCUCAGCUGACACAUUGAGGUGUAUCAUCACUGCUUGAUGUCCACAGGUCUACUGUCCAAAGCUCACAUCAUUUCGUGGGAUCCUAGAAACCAUCCAACGGUCUCUUAGGUCCCUUUUGUGACACUGUGGAUGAUUUAUUGAAAAUUCAAGGCACACUUGACCAGCAUGGCUACCACAGCAUUGAUGAGACACACCGUCCCAUCUGGUUCAGUCUUAACCCAGUUGAGAUGAUUUGGGAUGAAAUGGACCACAGAAUGAAGGAAAAGCAGACAAGUGCUCAGCUCCUCUAAGAAGUCCUUCAAGACUGUUGGAAAACCAUUUCAGAUGACCUCAUGAAGCUCAAAAUAGUAGUAAUCCGGCCAGC